CCUGCCACUAGAGUAGUUAUCAGGUGUGGCUGAUAUGUCACAUGUGCAUCAGUAGGUGGCAGAGAAGAGAGAGGUUAUGUCUAUGCUCAGUGUUCUGGCUUGUGAACAUGUGAAUAAUUAGUAGCUUAAUGCC
Molecule: small nucleolar RNA, 133 nt
Organism: Grammomys surdaster
Lineage: Eukaryota; Metazoa; Chordata; Mammalia; Rodentia; Muridae
Product: small nucleolar RNA SNORA17
Exons: 1
Source: RefSeq, a predicted model, not a curated record